GCUGGCGUCUUCGGCGUCCGCAUUGUAAUCUCAAGAAGUGUUUUCCGCUUCGGACCAUGCCUAAGUCCCUUGGAAAAGGGCAUCAUAGAGGGUGAUAAUCCCGUACAUGGCAUGGAGCGCCCGAGGCUUUGUGAUACGCUUUCUAAGAGUCGAGUUGUUUGGGAAUGCAGCUCAAAAUGGGUGGUAAAUGCCAUCUAAGGCUAAAUAUUGGGGAGAGACCGAUAGCGAACAAGUACAGUGAUGGAAAGAUGAAAAGAACUUUGAAAAGAGAGUUAAACAGUACGUGAAAUUGCCAAAAGGGAAGGGUAGGAGGUCAGAGAUGCGUCUUGGGAUUCAGCCUUGCUUUUGCUUGGUGUUUUUCCCAAGUUGCAGGCCAACGUCGGUUUUGGGCACUGGAGAAGGGUGGAAGGAACGUGGCACCUCUCGGGGUGUGUUAUAGCCUUCUACUGGAUACAGCGACCGAGACCGAGGACAGCAGCGUACUCGCAAGAGCGGGCCUUCGGGCACCUUUACGCUUAGGGCGUUGGCAUAAUGGCCCUCUACCACCCGUCUUGAAACCCGG
Molecule: ribosomal RNA, 562 nt
Filed under: Anthracocystis elionuri
Lineage: Eukaryota; Fungi; Basidiomycota; Ustilaginomycetes; Ustilaginales; Ustilaginaceae
Description: LSU rRNA
Rfam family: Eukaryotic large subunit ribosomal RNA
Source: RNAcentral